This is a long non-coding RNA of Anolis carolinensis (green anole), 1670 nucleotides long. The record is from Ensembl. Lineage: Eukaryota; Metazoa; Chordata; Lepidosauria; Squamata; Anolidae.
AUGGAAAGACACAAACCACGGGGCUCGGAGCCUGAUCAGGAAUCUACAUCAUAUGGGAAUGGGCAGUGUGAACAGAGGCAGAAAAGAAGUGCAGACAUCGACCUUCCUAACUUGAGCAGAAAGAAAGGAUGGAAAUGGUUAUAUCCGAUAGCAUGACCAUCACAACUCUGAGAGCUCUGGUUACUCAGUCAUGCUGACAUUUGCAUUCUAAAAUUGAUCAUAUUUUAUAUAAUUUCAGGGAAUUCAAAUGUGAAUAAACUGCUUCAAACUGAAUUUGUUUCCAAAUGAUACUGUUCAUUAUUAGAUACUAGCUUGAGGACCCAGGAGUGUGUGGGUUAUUAGAAGAAGGCAUUUUUGUAGGUAAUAUUAGUUAAGUUUGAUCCAUAUCAGUCAUUGGCUGGAUUCAGUGCUGUCUGGAUAAGGGUGAACUACAACUCCCAGAUUCCCAGGACAAUUAUCCCCAAACCCUGACAGAAUUCACAGUUGGCCAUGUUGGGUCUGUACACCAAGUUUGCUCCAGAUCCAUAAUCAGCUGGGUUCAGGACUCUCUGGAUAAGGGUGAACUACAACUCCCAAAAUGUAGGUCCAUUCCCACUAACCGCUGCAGUAUGUUCAGUUGGUCAUGGGGCUUCCCUGUGCCAAGUUUGGUCCUAGUCCAAUGUCGGUGGGGGUCACAGUAUCAGUGAAGGUACUGCAAGUCUCAUUACCCAUGACAAGUUUGGUCCAGAUCAAUUGUUGGUUGGGUUAACAGUGCUCUCUGGCUGUAGGUGAACUACAAUUCUUGUAAAUCAUGGUGAAUUCUCCCCCAAACCUCUUGUUCAGUUGCUGAUCAAUUCCUCUGUUAACUGUGUUCCAUAGGAAAGGGUAGGAAAGGGUUAAGGUGGAGAUAGUGGGUGGAGUCAUGCAAACAAAGGAACCCUGAGAUGUCCAUUCUGGAGGAAAAACAGAAUAUCUAGGAUGAAAUGGUCCCCACAUAAAAGCCUUCACUUGGGUGGGGGCAGAAUAGUGUUUUUGGAGGACACUGGCAGGGUGUGGGCGACAUGUUAAUGGUGCUCUCAGGGAGGGCAUUGGUGUCUGCUGCUCAGUGGGAGCUGUAGCCUAUUUGUGGCUACAGUGGGAGGCCUCUGCCACAUACUCUGUCACAUACACAUUUUUCACUUUUAUUAUGCUUUCUCAGUUGAAAAGUUAGUUUCACUUCUGGGUUCACUUCUGAAAUUCUAUGCAGACUUGAAAAAAAUACAAAUAUGCCCCAUAAUAUUAAGAGAAGGCAACAGGAACACACACUCAUUUGUUUGUCCACGUUCAUGUUGCCACCAUUUAAUAAUAGGUUGUAACUAUUUGUAGUCAGUGGAAUUUGUAGAUCCAGAGGGCCCAAAGUAUAUAAAUUACAUUGUGCUACUUUUUAUGUCUUCAUGAAUUGCACAACUAUUAAAUACAGCAACAAGAAGAACAUUUCCUACCAGCUGACUUUAAAAAACCCCACAUGCACUAUGCUCAAAAUGUAGUUUGACAAAGAAACAGAUCAAGAAAAAAUAAUUAAUUAUCUUCAAUAAAGAAAAGGAGAAAAAAGCAAGACAAAAUCCUCAUGUGAGUUAUUAUGUCAAUAUAUGAGAAUGCCAUUCAUAUUAAAAAAAAGUCACUCAACUAUCAUUCUGUUCAUGUCAAAAAUU